RNAcentral lists this long non-coding RNA (206 nucleotides) under Elaeis guineensis (African oil palm). RNAcentral's name for it is "long non-coding RNA (EGUI_LNC004608)". The record is from RNAcentral. Lineage: Eukaryota; Viridiplantae; Streptophyta; Magnoliopsida; Arecales; Arecaceae.
GGGUGGUUUCUGUUUGGAAGAACUAUCAAUAACAGGAAGUUACUAAAUUAGCAAAUCUUUGGUUUAGCCUCUUCUUAAAAAGCUUGCCAUUUUCUUUUGAUAUGUCCAGCGUCUCUAUAAUAGUGGCACAAGGAGCUUUUAAUAGGUCUGGGUGACAAUGGUGAUGGCAGAUGUCAUUGACAUUGAUACUGGUUGCUGACAUAGCC